Molecule: ribosomal RNA, 230 nt
Filed under: uncultured bacterium
Lineage: Bacteria
Description: partial 16S ribosomal RNA
Rfam family: Bacterial small subunit ribosomal RNA
Source: RNAcentral
UGGGCAACCUGCCCUCAGCUCUGGGAUAACUCCGGGAAACCGGGGCUAGUACCGGAUACGACCUUCCCUCGCAUGGGGGUUGGUGGAAAGUUCUUCGGCUGAGGAUGGGCCCGCGGCCUAUCAGCUUGUUGGUGGGGUGAUGGCCUACCAAGGCGACUACGGGUAGCCGGCCUGAGAGGGCGACCGGCCACACUGGGACUGAGACACGGCCCAGACUCCUACGGGAGGCA